AUGGAAUUCUUACCCCGGCCAUAUCAGAUAAAAUAUACUAGCUACAACAGCAAUGCAAAGAAUAAUAAGGACCCAGUCGAUACCUGGAAUAAUAAGCAUCCAGGUAUCGACUGGGUCCUUAUUAUUCUUUGCAUUGCUGUUGCUUCAGGGUUUGAAAAUCAAGAUCUGAUUGAAAAUGCUAAUGUGAUGAGAGACAAAGCAAGAAUGACACAAAAGAAUGAGGAAGGAAGAAACAAUCCUGUAAAAACAGCCCCACGAUCAGAUUGGACAGUGGUGCGAUGCAUGCCAAAGCCAAAAGGAAAAUAG
Non-coding RNA from Vicia faba (fava bean), 306 nucleotides. NCBI's taxonomy places the organism in Eukaryota, Viridiplantae, Streptophyta, Magnoliopsida, Fabales, Fabaceae. The record is from the annotation of a GenBank genome assembly.